GUCAGCUAUGAUUCCAGCAGGUAUAUGUAGACUGCAGUUAACUUCCACUUCUUUGUUUCUUCAUCCAAGUAAUUCAUUUAUUUUCUGUAAGCUAGUUUUUUAGUACUACACACAGAACUCAAGCAGAAGUGAGUUCCUGGGCUUCAAUUUUGUGGUUUAUUCAAUCUAUUCAUUACACUUAGUUUUGCUGAAUCUUGCACAUUCUUAAUUAUGAUCUUAUAUUUCUAUAUAUAUUUGUCUGUCAAAUUUUAGUUGUUGGCAGCUUGAUUUACAUUAAGGCGAGGAGAGACUUUGAAAUAUUUUCUCCAGCAUUGAGGAAAUUGUGGAAGGACUGGGAGCUACGUAUUUUAGUUCUACUCAGCCUUGUCUUGCAGAUAAUACUAAUCUUUUUUGGAAAUCAGCGGAAAGUUUCGAGCAGGAUUUGGGUUCGAGUCGUCCUAUGGUGUGCUUAUUUGACGGCCGAUUGGGUAGCAACCGUUGCCCUUGGGGUUCUCUUAAACAACAUGGGAGACGUCUAUGAGAACAAGGAUAAGGGGAGAAUUGUUCUGGACGCAGACACUCAGAUUACUGCAUUUUGGGCACCAUUUCUUCUGUUGCACUUGGGUGGCCCUGAUACUAUUACUGCGUAUUCUCUGGAAGACAAUGAGUUGUGGUUAAGGCACUUUCUUGGGCUGGGUGUACAGACAGGAGUGGCACUUUAUAUUUUCCUCUUGGCCUGGAUAGGUUCUCGCUUUUCCAUUCUCACAAUGCCAAUGUUUUUGGCAGGAAUUAUCAAAUAUGGAGAGAGGACAUGGGCCCUUAGAUCAGCAAGCAACGAUGAAUUGAGAGAUUCCAUGCUUACUGAUCCAGAUCCUGGCCCCAAUUAUUCCAAGUUCAUGGAGGAAUUCACUUUGAAGCAGUACGAGGGAUUCCAUGUACAGGCACAAGAAGUAAUUGAGACACAAAUCCAGGUCGAAGUUUCUGUGGGAGAUGACACUUUUGAAGGUGAAACUGAAUUGCUUAAAGCCAGUUACUUAUUCAAGACCUUCAAGCGUCUCUUUGUUGAUCUCAUCCUCAGCUUCCAAGAUCGAGACAAUAGCCAAUCCUUAUUCAAAGGAACAUCCUACGAAGACGCUUUCAAAGUGAUUGAGAUUGAACUUGGAUUCAUGUACGACAUGCUCUACACAAAGGGAACAAUAAUUUACUCACGCAAAGGCUGCUGUCUCCGCUUCAUCAGUCUAACUAGCACCUGCAUUGUACUUGUCUUCUUUUCUUUAUCCAACAAGCGCGACUUCAAGAAGAUUGACAUAGCCAUAACCUUCUUAUUGCUGGUUAUAGCUAUUUUUCUUGAGCUCUGUGCAGUGCUUUUUUUGGUCUCCUCAGAUUGGGCAGAUCUUUACCUGUCUAAGCAUAAAACCGUUAUCCGGCAAGCCAUCACUCAUAUACAGCUGCAGAAGGGUGCAAGAUGGUCAAAUUCCUUGGGACAAUACAGCUUAUUGAGCUAUAGCCUCAAAAGUAUGCCUGUGUUCAACAGCAAAAUCCAGAAGUUCUUUGGCAUAGUUAAAAUAUUAGAACACCGGCAAAUGACUAAUAAGGAUGUUUCUGAUGAGCAGAAAGAGUUCAUAUUCGACCAUCUCAAGAAGAAAUUUGACGAUCUGAUGGAGAUUAAAUCAACAGAUGAACCCAACUACCAGAAGGAGCUUAAAGAUCUGAGCACUUGCCGGGGGGCUCGUGCGCUUAGUGAUUUUCCUACACUGCGUUGGAGUGUGGAAACAGAGUUCGACCAGAGCAUUCUUAUCUGGCACAUUGCUACACAUCUCUGUGCCUACUCUCAAAGGCAAAAUGAGCAGAACAUAGUUAAAUUGGAAAAUGAGGAUGACAGUAAGAAGUUUAAAAAGAUAAGUAAGUUAUUAUCACGGUACAUGCUGUAUCUCCUGGUUAUGCGUCCUUCGAUGUUGCCAAUGGGAAUUGGGAAGAUCAGAUAUCUGGACACUUGCGCUGAAGCCAAAAAAUUUUUUCAGGAGCACGAUUGCGCACCAGGUGAUGACAUCCACCUGCUUCAAAAUACUUGCUCUUGGGCUAUGAAUCUUUUCAAAGGGGCAAAGUACAAGGAACAUGAAAAGAAAGCCUGCAAUGCGUUGCUUAAAGUGAACACCGCAGUUCCACCACUUAAAGUGAAAGGGGACAGGAGCAAGUCUGUGUUAUUCGACGCAUGCAAUCUAGCUUCGCUUCUGCAAAAUGAAAAUAUAAAAAAUAAGUGGAAAGUGAUGAGCAAUGUAUGGGUGGAAAUGCUAGCUUAUGCUGCUAGCCACUGCAGAGGAAUUUAUCAUGCUCAGCAGUUGGGACGAGGCGGGGAACUUCUUACCCAUAUUUGGCUCCUGAUGGCCCAUUUUGGUUUAACCGAGCAGUUCCAAAUAUCGCUUGGCCAUGCAAGAGCCAAGCUUUUUGUGGAAUAGUUAGCUAUCAUAGUGUAUCCUAGUACUAAUUAAUUAAAUUGUUGUUUCUUUUGUACGAGUUUGAAAUAUCUGUCAGAUUAUUGGAAUAUGUAGAUCUAUGAUGUGCGAUCUUCUACCUAUAAUAAGA
RNAcentral lists this unclassified non-coding RNA (2562 nucleotides) under Hevea brasiliensis (rubber tree). Lineage: Eukaryota; Viridiplantae; Streptophyta; Magnoliopsida; Malpighiales; Euphorbiaceae. The record is from RNAcentral.